CCUACGGGAGGCUGCAGUGAGGAAUAUUGGUCAAUGGUCGCGAGCCUGAACCAGCCAAGUCGCGUGAAGGAUGACUGCCCUGAGGGUUGUAAACUUCUUUUGUCAGGGAAUAAAGUGAGGCACGUGUGCCUUUUUGUAUGUACUUUAUGAAUAAGGAUCGGCUAACUCCGUGCCAGCAGCCGCGGUAAUACGGAGGAUCCGAGCGUUAUCCGGAUUUAUUGGGUUUAAAGGGAGCGUAGAUGGGUUGUUAAGUCAGUUGUGAAAGUUUGCGGCUCAACCGGAAAAUUGCAAUUGAUACUGGCAGUCUUGAGUACAGGUGAGGUAGGCGGAAUUCGUGGUGUAGCGGUGAAAUGCUUAGAUAUCACGAAGAACUCCGAUUGCGAAGGCAGCUUACCAACCCGACACUGACACUGAUGCUCGAAAGCGUGGGUAUCAAACAGGAUUAGAUACCCUGGUAGUC
Molecule: ribosomal RNA, 460 nt
Filed under: uncultured bacterium
Lineage: Bacteria
Description: partial 16S ribosomal RNA
Rfam family: Bacterial small subunit ribosomal RNA
Source: RNAcentral